GCCCCGGUAGCUCAGAGGAUAGAGCGUCUGCCUCCGGAGCAGAAGGUCGCAGGUUCGAGUCCUGUUCGGGGCA
RNAcentral lists this transfer RNA (73 nucleotides) under Actinomycetaceae bacterium. RNAcentral's name for it is "tRNA-Arg". It matches the Rfam family "tRNA". Rfam says of the family: Transfer RNA (tRNA) molecules are approximately 80 nucleotides in length. Their secondary structure includes four short double-helical elements and three loops (D, anti-codon, and T loops). Lineage: Bacteria; Bacillati; Actinomycetota; Actinomycetes; Actinomycetales; Actinomycetaceae. The record is from RNAcentral.